UGGUGGAGUGAUUUGUCUGGUUAAUUCCGUUAACGAACGAGACCUCGACCUGCUAAAUAGUAUUGCGAAUUCUUCGGGAUUCGAAAUGCUUCUUAGAGGGACUAUCGGUGUGUAACCGAUGGAAGUUCGAGGCAAUAACA
This 140-nucleotide ribosomal RNA is filed under the name uncultured eukaryote. Its description in RNAcentral is "partial 18S ribosomal RNA". It matches the Rfam family "Eukaryotic small subunit ribosomal RNA", at positions 1299 to 1458 of the family's 1831-position model. The record is from RNAcentral.